Molecule: RNA transcript, 1214 nt
Organism: Zea mays
Lineage: Eukaryota; Viridiplantae; Streptophyta; Magnoliopsida; Poales; Poaceae
Exons: 8
Source: RefSeq, marked validated
GAUUGGUUGCUGUUGCUUCCUGCUUUCGCUUCGCCUUCACCCGUUCGCCGUGCGGCCGAGCUCUCUAGUUCCGCCGCUCGCUAGUCGCCUUCCUCCCAAAUGGCGACCGCCAUGCGGGGCAGCAGCCUCCUGCGGUUCGGUUUCCGCCAUCCUUCCUGCCUCCUGUUCCAGUCCCCUCGGUGUCCUGCCCCGAGCCUGGGUCUGAACCUGGCCGUUGGCCGCACCGGGCUUAUACGCCUCCGAUGCUCGGCGGCCGGGGCCGGCGACGCCGGUGGAAAGAAGGUGUCGGCUCGGCUGGCUCUGACGCAGCAGGUGCUGCGGAACGCCGAGGAGCGCGCCGCGUCGGCGGGUUCGGACCCUGCCCCCAAGAUCACCCUGGAUCAUGUUACUGUUAAUUUUGCAAGAAGUGGUGGUCCUGGUGGUCAGAAUGUUAACAAAGUUAACACAAAGGUUGACAUGCGAUUCAAUGUUAAGGAAGCUCACUGGCUUGGGGAGAGAAUCAAGGAACGGAUAUUACAAGCGGAGAAGAAUAGGAUAAAUAAAGAUGGAGAGCUUGUUAUAUCUUCUACAAAAACUAGAACACAGAAGGGCAAUAUUGAAGAUGCAUUGCAGAAAAUACAGGCAAUCAUUGAUGCUGCAUCAUAUGUUCCUCCACCCCCAACAGAAGACCAAAAGAAAAAGAUUGAAAAAAUUGCUGCAGUUGCUGAAAGGAAGAGACUUCAGAAUAAGAAGGUGCUUUCACAGAAGAAGGAAUUUAGACGGAACAGAACUAGCUGGGAUUGAUGCAAGGUAUCUUGCACAGACCCGUCUUUCUGUUUUGUGCCAUUCCGCGGUGGGCAUUGGCAAUAGUUUAGAGGGCUUGUUCUCGGGGUAGCAAAAGCAUUCGGCUGAUCCUUACAGCAGUGGUGUACAGAGACCGACGAAAAACAAGGGUCAGACUUGCUGAAGGCAUCUUGGUGAAGAAGAUAUAGCUAAGUUUCGUAGGCAUCUCCAGUUUUUGUUUCGUCUAUUAGUAGGGAUGGAUUCGGAUCGGAUACUCAUGGAAACAGAUCCGAACGUCACUAUUUACCAUAUUUUAAUCCGAAUACGAAUACUAUCGGAUACGAAUACAAAACGGAUAGUUCGAAUUCGGAUUUACAUUCGAAUACUUACUUGAUUUGGAACAUAGCAUCAUAACAAGUAUUAAUUUGUUUUAUCGAUGGAUUUAUAGUUGA